Molecule: long non-coding RNA, 205 nt
Filed under: Phoenix dactylifera (date palm)
Lineage: Eukaryota; Viridiplantae; Streptophyta; Magnoliopsida; Arecales; Arecaceae
Description: long non-coding RNA (PDAC_LNC009949)
Source: RNAcentral
GAAGCGAAUUGAAGUCCAUCCUACAAACUCCUUCCUUCGCAUUCAAGGCUAUCCUUCUGACAUCAAGUCUUUAGCGCAUUCAAAGAGGAGACUCUAAAGUCGAGAAGCUCCUUCUUCCACUUCCAAAAUCUGUUUGAGGGCUUCUAACUUCACUCUUUUCAUAUUGUUUAAUAUUUGCUUAUUAAGAAGCUUUCCGUGUAAUUUU